Molecule: ribosomal RNA, 484 nt
Filed under: uncultured bacterium
Lineage: Bacteria
Description: partial 16S ribosomal RNA
Rfam family: Bacterial small subunit ribosomal RNA
Source: RNAcentral
AUUGAACGCUGGCGGCAGGCCUAACACAUGCAAGUCGAGCGGAUGAAGGGAGCUUGCUCCUGGAUUUAGCGGCGGACGGGUGAGUAAUGCCUAGGAAUCUGCCUGGUAGUGGGGUAUAACGUCCGGAAACGGGCGCUAAUACCGCAUACGUCCUGAGGGAGAAAGUGGGGGAUCUUCGGACCUCACGCUAUCAGAUGAGCCUAGGUCGGAUUAGCUAGUUGGUGGGGUAAAGGCCUACCAAGGCGACGAUCCGUAACUGGUCUGAGAGGAUGAUCAGUCACACUGGAACUGGGACACGGUCCAGACUCCUACGGGAGGCAGCAGUGGGGAAUAUUGGACAGUGGGCGAAAGCCUGAUCCAGCCAUGCCGCGUGUGUGAAGAAGGUCUUCGGAUUGUAAAGCACUUUAAGUUGGGAGGAAGGGCAGUAAGUUAAUACCUUGCUGUUUUGACGUUACCAACAGAAUAAGCACCGGCUAACUUCGUG